RNAcentral lists this long non-coding RNA (3635 nucleotides) under Sus scrofa (pig). RNAcentral's name for it is "lncRNA (ENSSSCG00065046333.1)". Lineage: Eukaryota; Metazoa; Chordata; Mammalia; Artiodactyla; Suidae. The record is from RNAcentral.
GAUUCUCUAUGAAUUUCAGGUGACCGACUACUUGUUUUUCUCUUUUGUCCAGAGGUAAUCAGAUACCCAGAGGCUACAGCGCGAUGUCUUCCCUUCUCAAUGGCAUUUCUGGUGUCCACCUCAGGAGUCUCCUUGGCCAGCCUUGAAACACUUGGAAAUUAAACAGAGAAGCCACUGCAUAUAUCCUGGAAAAUCUCCAUCCUGUGUGUUCAGAACUCUCUGAAUAAGCAUAAGGAUUUGAAGAGGAGCAGGUGGAAUAAGAAUGGAAUUGGGUCCUCAAGCGCUAACAGAGUGGGAAGCAAGCCAAGAGGACAGCAGUAGGUGUACAGAGGCCAUGGAAUACCCACCAACCAGAUAAUCAUCGCUGGAAUAACUGGAAGUGUCUGAAUGUAGGUAUGUGUACCGAAGACUUCUCUGUGCUCUUUCAGUAAGUAACUGUUAUCUAGCUCUCCCAUCAAUGUUAUUCAUACACCUGCAGGCUCAUCAGCCUUUUGAAAGCACUGCUUGGUGGGACUUGGAUGCACAUGCAAGCAUGCACAUAGCCACUCAGAAGCACAGGAGGGCCUCCCUCCUCCCUGGGCGCCUGGAACAUUCUCCAAAAUGACCUAAACCUGUCUUCCAAUUCUCUCAUCCCAGUAUUCCCAUAUAGCAUUCCCACACCUUCUUCCCACGGACACUGAGCCUUGUUUCCUGAGCACAGAAAGCUGUUGUCUUGCCUUCCUAACAGAAAUAACUUUCCCAUAUCCUCUUUGCUGGCUUAAGUUCUCUUUCUCCUUCAAGACCUAAAUCAGUUUUCACCUAUAUUACAACAUCUUGCUGAUUCCCCCUCCCAAUUAUUUCCUUCUUUCCAUAUGUCUGUAGAGCUUGUAUUCAUACCUCCCCUCUGGCAUUUGACAACUUGUAUCAUGAAUUGCUGUUUCUCUCUUUAUGCAUCUGCCCUGUGUCCUCAGUGUAGCUGUUUGUUUUUUAAGAGACAGGAUCUAUUGUAUUUUUGCAGACCAGAGACCAAGACCAAGGAAAAUGGGCUGGUAAAGAGCUGCUGUGAUGUAGGGACGCAACAAAGAGGGGUGGUUAAGAAUAGAGUCUGGGGAGUUCUGGGCAUGGCCCAUGGGUAAGGAACCAGACUGUAUCCAUGAGGAUACAGGUGGAUCCCUGACCUCACUCAGUGGGUUAAGGAUGCAGCGUCACCUUGAGCUGUGGUGUAGGUUGUAGAUGCUGCUUGGAUCCCGAGUUGCUCUGGUUGUGGCUUAGGCCAACAGCUGUAGCUCCAACUGGACCCCUAGCCUCAGAACUUCCAUAUGCCACUGGUGCGGCCCUAAAAAGCAAAACAACAACAACAACACCCAAAAAAAACAAAAACAGAAAAACAGAAUAGACUCUGGAGCAAGAAUGCCUGAGUUCAAGUUCUUGCUCAGCCAAUUAUUAGGCUGUGUGACUUGGGCAAGUUUUUUUUUUAAAGAAAAACUUUAAAAAAAAACUUUCUAUGCCUCAGUGUUUUCUUCUGCAAAAUAGUAAUAAUAGAAGUACACCCAUCUCCUUAAGCUGUAAAGUUUCAAUGAACUAAUAAAUAAAAAGAACUUAAAUAGUGUCUAAUAUAUAUCAAACACUGAAAAAUCAUUACUUAUUUAUUACUGCAUAUAUAAUAGUUCAUUUAAUUUUCCCAAUAAUACUAGAAGAUAGAUGGCAUCAUCACCAUUCUGAAAACCAGAACCCUGUGACCCUGAGCAAUUAGGUUACUAACCAAAAUCACAAGAAGAUACAGAAUGAGAAGCAAGUACCUGAUCCUAAACCCUAGGCAGUUUCACUCUCGGAACCACCUCACACAGGCACCAGGGGACUAAUUUGUAUUGAUAAUCAUGGAAUUAAUUCUUUUCUAUUCUUAUACUUUAAACCAAAUUCAACUCAACAAGUAUUUCUGGUUCCAGGCACUGAAGGAGAAAGAUGGAGAAAAAUACAAAAUGGCUAUUCUUACCCUAGGAUAUUUCAUAAUCUAUGUGAUUCAGAUACUAGCAACAAAGCAGAAACAUCUAACACAUUUUUUUCUUCCCAUUUCUGGAUUCAUUUAGAGAUUGGCUCUUGCCUGGCCCCUACUUCACCCCAUGUAAUAAUUGUAGGUUGGAUACAGUGUCAUUGUCUACAAAAAUAACUCUUUGUCUACAAAAAUAACACCCAUUUAAGAGUAAACUAUAAAAUUGAUAAGUUUUAAAAUUAUUUUACUCUACUUGAAACUAUUUUGGACAAUUGACAAAGAGCUCUGUUAAACUUGGCAGAUCAGCCCCUCUUGGAACCUCCUUAAUUUCUAGGAAAUCAUCAGUAGGUCUUGUUCCCCUCUGCCAAAACUCCUUGGCUGCUGCCACUUCACUUGUGCUAAGGUACAUAGCACUGUGCUGGGAUCUAGUAGAUGAUUGGUAAAAUCCUGAAUUUUGCCACACUUACUCAUCCUUAAAUAUGCGCUGCUCUCCGGGCCCACCUCUGAAUUUCAGGCUAACAUCAGGGAUCCUCUGUAGACCCAGAGGAAUUACCUGAGGUAAAGUAUCCCCAAGAGGGAGAAUUGGAAGGACUGACAUUUGGAACACCAGGUUUUUUACUUUACACGUAUCAUUUCAUGUAAUUCUCAAAGUAACCCCAUGAAGUAGGUAUAGUUAUCCACCCUUUACUGAUAAGGAAACUAAAAUUCAGAGAGGUUAAUUAACAUAUUUGAAAAACCACAGAGCUGGUGAGAAAGAAUUUCCAACCCAGUCUAAUGACCCAAGGAGAUGAGGAAAAAGCAACGGGCUGACCUGAGGGCUCAGUUCAGAGUUGUGAAGCAGGGACUACAUUUUGACACUAACUGCCGGUGACUCAGGCACAUCAUAGAACCUCUUCUUGUCUCGGUUUCUUCAUCUCACAUGACAUUGUUAUGAGGAUCAAAAUAUUUUAUUUGUAAGAUGGGCUGUGAAAUCAUCAUUGACAUUAUAAACAUAUAUUAUAGUUAUGAGUCUGAUAAGUGUAAACAUUGAAAGAGGGAAGAAAUCCCCAAAUGGUUUGAAAUUCCUAGGAGGCGACGGGAGGAAGGUGGCAGCAUUGAAAGGAAGCAAAGACACCAAGAAACGCCAUGCCUAUACAGGGGCUCUGGGAGCAGAUCUGGAAAAGAUGGCUCUAGUACCAAUACUGACCCGGUACUGUUCAGUUAACAGUUACCAAGUGGCAGUUACCCUUAUAAUAUGUUAUAUCAUGUCCUUAAAUGUAGGUAUAAUGGCCAUAAUCACCAAACCAAGGAUUAGACAUAGGGCAAAACAUUGGAAAUCAGGACUGUUGCAUAUGGAACCAUAGGCCUUGUAUAAGGAACCGUUGUAUGGCAAGCUUCUUAGUUGGAGGAUUAAGAGUAAUAUUGUCCUUAAAUACACAGUUCCCACUAUGGCACAGUGGGUUAAGAACCUGGCUAGUAUCCAUGAGGACACAGGUUCAAUCCCUGGCCUCACUCAGUGGGUUAAGGAUCUGGCAUUGCCGUGAACUUGGUGUAGGUGGUAAAUAUGGCUCAGAUAUGGCAUUGCUGUGCUAUGGGGUAGGCCAGCAGCUGUAGCUCAGAUUCGACCCCUAGCCUGGGAACAUCCAUAUGCUGCAGGUGCGGCCCUAAAAAGAAAAGAAAAAAAAAA